GGCUGGCUACUCCAUGUGCUUCUGGAAAACACCAGCUAAUGCCACUGUGACUAUAGAAUCACUAUGGAAUGCUGCUGAUACUGUGCUAUACUGGAAGGUGCAGCCAGGAAAUGCUGCUGAUACUGUGCUAUACUGGAAGGUGCAGCCAGGAAAUGCUGCUGAUACUGUGCUAUACUGGAAGGUGCAGCCAGGAAAUGCUGCUGAUACUGUGCUAUACUGGAAGGUGCAGCCAGGAAAUGCUGCUGAUACUGUGCUAUACUGGAAGGUGCUGCCAGGAAAUGCUGCUGAUACUGUGCUAUACUGGAAGGUACAGCCAGGAAAUGCUGCUGAUACUGUGCUGUACUGGAAGGUGCUGCCAGGAAAUGCUGCUGAUACUGUGCUAUACUGAAAGGUGCUGCCAGGAAAUGCUGCUGAUAUUGUGCUGUACUGGGAGGUGCAGCCAUGGAAUGUUGCUGAUAUUGUGCUAUACUGGA
Molecule: long non-coding RNA, 473 nt
Organism: Oncorhynchus keta (chum salmon)
Lineage: Eukaryota; Metazoa; Chordata; Actinopteri; Salmoniformes; Salmonidae
Exons: 3
Source: RefSeq, a predicted model, not a curated record